RNAcentral lists this ribosomal RNA (493 nucleotides) under uncultured bacterium. RNAcentral describes it as "partial 16S ribosomal RNA". It matches the Rfam family "Bacterial small subunit ribosomal RNA", at positions 29 to 523 of the family's 1533-position model. The record is from RNAcentral.
AUUGAACGCUGGCGGCAUGCUUUACACAUGCAAGUCGAACGGUAGCAGGUUAAGCUGACGAGUGGCGAACGGGUGAGUAAUGCAUCGGAACGUGCCCGGUCGUGGGGGAUAACGCAGCGAAAGCUGCGCUAAUACCGCAUACGAUCUGAGGAUGAAAGCGGGGGACCGUAAGGCCUCGCGCGAUCGGAGCGGCCGAUGUCAGAUUAGGUAGUUGGUGGGGUAAAGGCUCACCAAGCCAACGAUCUGUAGCUGGUCUGAGAGGACGACCAGCCACACUGGGACUGAGACACGGCCCAGACUCCUACGGGAGGCAGCAGUGGGGAAUUUUGGACAAUGGGCGAAAGCCUGAUCCAGCAAUGCCGCGUGCAGGAAGAAGGCCUUCGGGUUGUAAACUGCUUUUGUACGGAGCGAAAAGGUCUCCUCUAAUACAGGGGGCUCAUGACGGUACCGUAAGAAUAAGCACCGGCUAACUACGUGCCAGCCGCCGCGGUAA